Long non-coding RNA from Calidris pygmaea (Spoon-billed sandpiper), 745 nucleotides. NCBI's taxonomy places the organism in Eukaryota, Metazoa, Chordata, Aves, Charadriiformes, Scolopacidae. The record is from Ensembl.
GAAAAUAUCCAUAUAACCUAUCAGUUUGUAAUACUGUGUUUAUCUUCCAUUCAUGGACAUUUUAGGCUCCAUCCUUGGAUGUGCUACAGGUGGACGGAAAAGCAAUACUAAAAAUUAAACCAGGUGAAGUGCAGAAACAGCUGCAAGAGGAACACGACUUGCAACAAUCUUUGCCACCUCAGGCUUCAAAUAUGAAAGGUAGACAUUAUCCAGGCAUUCAUCGUCUACGUACUGCUUUUCCUAGUUUUAUAUUUUCUCCUUAUUUACAACUGGCUUCUAGAGUUUAUCAUACUUUAGACAUAAGAGGUCACAAUAUCUUAUCUACAUCAGAGGACACCAACAAUAAGGAGGAAGAACCAUUGAGUUCCAAAUAUAUUUAUUUGAGAGAGCCAGCUGAAAAGAAAAGAAUUUGUUAUGAAGGAGUUCCUAUUUCAGAGCAAUUCCAGAAUAAUCGGACCAAUGGGAUUCACUUUCUUCCCCCGCAUACAUCAGAAAGUCUAACUGAAUGCAAAAAAGUAGCUGAAUAUGAUCUUAAAAAACCACAACUGCAACCAUUGGGAGAGAAAGUUUCCAUCUAUCCAGAAGCUUUAAAAAUGUUUUGUGCUCCAGCUCCACCAAAACUCUCUGCUACAAUUUCAUUAAAGGAAAUUUUAUUUCCUACAUAUGAGGUAAAUAUUUUAAAUGUAUCUUAGUGUUUCCAUCUUUUGCAGAAAUAUACAUCUUUUUCUAAAAUAUAUUUGUUAAA